AAAGGCUACUCUUUUUGUUUUCUUUUUCUUCUUCUAAUUUCAAAAAGAUUUGGUUUUUAGGUUUUUAAACCUAAAAAAAAGGGGGAACUGAGAAAAAAUUUUGGCCACGACGAAGGCUUGCCGGACCCCACGGCCAAAUUCUGGGCCAUGCCCAUAGAGAAAAAAAUAGAGAAAUGAUUCUUCUUUUUUUUUUAAUCUGGUUACAAAAUGAUUCUUUUUUGUUGGUAUUUUAACUUAUAUAGUUAACACCAAACAACGUCGUUUCGAAAGGGUCCAUAAGCCCUAAAAACGACGUCGUUUUGGGGCAAAACUCGAAGUCUGACCUGCCCUUUAAUAGGAUCCGCGUUUUUUGCUAUCCACGAGUUAUUUGCGGUUUCGACCCUUCUGCCUUUUAUCCGUUUUUCAAUCCAGUCCAUCUAUUUUACAUAUUUACAAAUUUCACCUUAUAAUUUUAUUUCUGGUUUAUUUGGUCCCCUAAAAAACGAAGCGCAUAAGGACAAGGGAUAUUUCCCUUUUCAGUCACUGUCUUUUUUAGCGCUUUAAAUUUUAACCCUUAUUGGCCUAUUUUUUAUUUUUGCAAUUUAUAUCCCUAGUUUCCUUUAAAUUUCAAUUAAAUCCUUUAUUUAGUUAAUUUCAACUUUUUCAUGGGAUUUUUUUAUUUUUAUUUUAUUUUUUUAUUGUUUACUUAUUUAUUUAUCUAUUGCAACUUCAUCUUUUCAUGAAUUUUUCUGUUUAUUUUUAUUAUUUACUUAUUUAUUCAUUUAUUUAUUAUUUUCUUGCUUUUUAUUUUAAAAUUUAUGUUGUUCAUACUUGUACAUUUUUGCUCUAUUGUCAUUAUUAUUUCAUUUUUCUAUUUCUUUUAUUUUUGAUUUUAUUUUUUUGUUAUAUUAUUGCUUAUCAUGCAUUUUCCAUUUUAUUUUAUUUUCAAGAUUACCUUAUUUAUUUUAUUAAUAUUAUGAUUUGAUCAUUAAUAUUAUUGUUAUUAUUAUUGUACAAGCCCAAUGUUGCCCGGGCCCAUAAACAAAUAAAAUAUAACAGCCCAACAAAUAAUUUUACAAGUCCAAACUCAAUAGGCCUAAAACUAAACCCUAACCCAGCUAAUCUUAAAAAUUUUCAGCAAGCCCCAAGCCUCCAGCCGCUCCCCCUUCUUCAGCCACCGCUUCCACCAUUGGCCUUCCCACGCAUGCCGCCUCGGCCACCACGCCCCUGACCGUCGCUUCUUCCACGCGUCACAUGGCACCUACAACAGAAACAAAUACAAGGGCAAGAGAAAGCAUGCGAAUGAUGGGAAAAAAAAUAAACAAAGGAACAAAAAACAAAAAAAUAUGGAAUGAAUGUUUGGUAGAUCGGCUUUAAAAAGCCCGAAUCUAUCAUUUGUAAAGGGGGGGAAUGAUUUGGUAUUUUGGGGGUUUUGUUCUUUAUUUUGAAUACAAAAAAGAGGUUACAGAAUAUUAAUCAAAAAUUUUCAAAGCAAAGAGGUGAUUGUUCUUUUUUUUUUCUCUUUCGAUUCGACCCAAUAUUUCACUGUUUUUUUUUUUUUGCGUGGUUCUUCUUUCUUUUUUCGUUUUUUUGGACUGUUUAUAAAAAGAAAAGAAAAGGAUAAAAGCGGGUAACUGACCUGAAUCGUAGACCGUUGGUAUAUAUCGGAGUUUCUUCUCUGUUGAAACCAAAUCUAAUAAAGAGGGUGAUACUAUCUUUUUGAUUCUUUGCUAUCAUAGAGGUUAGAAUCUUGAUCGCAAGUCUGAACGGGGUUAGAAUCCGAAUGGGCCACCGUUGGCGGUGGCUACAUGGCAGCUUGGGCUUGUCUUCUUUGGGGUUUGAAAGGAUGAAAAAGGGAAGGGUUGAUAGAGGUGUUAAAGAGGGCUUUAUAUGCUUGAGGAUUGGGGGGUAUUUUCC
RNAcentral lists this long non-coding RNA (1896 nucleotides) under Gossypium barbadense (sea-island cotton). RNAcentral's name for it is "long non-coding RNA (GBAR_LNC011002)". Lineage: Eukaryota; Viridiplantae; Streptophyta; Magnoliopsida; Malvales; Malvaceae. The record is from RNAcentral.